GACGAACGCUGGCGGCGUGCUUAACACAUGCAAGUCGAACGGAAAGGCCCUGCUUUUGUGGGGUGCUCGAGUGGCGAACGGGUGAGUAACACGUGAGUAACCUGCCCUUGACUUUGGGAUAACUUCAGGAAACUGGGGCUAAUACCGGAUAGGAGCUCCUGCUGCAUGGUGGGGGUUGGAAAGUUUCGGCGGCUGGGGAUGGACGCGCGGCUUAUCAGCUUGUUGGUGGGGUAGUGGCUUACCAAGGCUUUGACGGGUAGCCGGCCUGAGAGGGUGACCGGCCACAUUGGGACUGAGAUGCGGCGCAGACUCCUACGGGAGGCAGCAGUGGGGAAUAUUGCACAAUGGGCGGAAGCCUGAUGCAGCAACGCCGCGUGCGGGAUGACGGCCUUCGGGUUGUAAACCGCUUUCGCCUGUGACGAAGCGUGAGUGACGGUAAUGGGUAAAGAAGCACCGGCUAACUACGUG
This 468-nucleotide ribosomal RNA is filed under the name uncultured bacterium. RNAcentral describes it as "partial 16S ribosomal RNA". It matches the Rfam family "Bacterial small subunit ribosomal RNA", at positions 28 to 507 of the family's 1533-position model. The record is from RNAcentral.